UUCCACCAGCGACACCACCUCUGAUCUCGUCAACCUCAGAUCCAGGUUUGUUAACGUCAAAUGAACGGAUUACUAUCAUGUUUGGAGGUGAUAUGAAGUUUCUCUCAGGAAUGGGAAUCCGCUUGAUUAUGUAUUCGCAAACAACAUCAAUAUUAUACCUAAGCUGAGCAGACACUGGGAUGACUGGUGCACCAUCAGCAACCAUAACCUGAAUGAAUUUCUGAAUUGCCUCGUGUUGAUUAAUGGCUACAUUUUCUUGAAUUAGAUCAACCUUAUUUUGAAGGAUUAUGAUAUGUUGGAGCCUCAUGAUUUCCACAGCAGCCAAGUGUUCAGAAGUUUGAGGUUGGGGACAGCUU
This 356-nucleotide long non-coding RNA is filed under the name Helianthus annuus (common sunflower). Its description in RNAcentral is "sRNA HanXRQr2_Chr11g0504461". Lineage: Eukaryota; Viridiplantae; Streptophyta; Magnoliopsida; Asterales; Asteraceae. The record is from RNAcentral.